UACGGAAGGCAGCAGUGGGGAAUAUUGCACAAUGGGCGCAAGCCUGAUGCAGCCAUGCCGCGUGUAUGAAGAAGGCCUUCGGGUUGUAAAGUACUUUCAGCGGGGAGGAAGGCGAUGCGGUUAAUAACCGCGUCGAUUGACGUUACCCGCAGAAGAAGCACCGGCUAACUCCGUGCCAGCAGCCGCGGUAAUACGGAGGGUGCAAGCGUUAAUCGGAAUUACUGGGCGUAAAGCGCACGCAGGCGGUCUGUUAAGUCAGAUGUGAAAUCCCCGGGCUUAACCUGGGAACUGCAUUUUGAAACUGGCAGGCUUGAGUCUUGUAGAGGGGGUAGAAUUCCAGGUGUAGCGGUGAAAUGCGUAGAGAUCUGGAGGAAUACCGGUGGCGAAGGCGGCCCCUGGGACAAGACUGACGCUCAGGUGCGAAAGCGUGGGGAGCAAACAGGAUUAGGAUACC
RNAcentral lists this ribosomal RNA (454 nucleotides) under uncultured bacterium. RNAcentral describes it as "bacterial SSU rRNA". It matches the Rfam family "Bacterial small subunit ribosomal RNA", at positions 340 to 786 of the family's 1533-position model. The record is from RNAcentral.